RNAcentral lists this ribosomal RNA (428 nucleotides) under uncultured bacterium. Its description in RNAcentral is "bacterial SSU rRNA". It matches the Rfam family "Bacterial small subunit ribosomal RNA", at positions 355 to 775 of the family's 1533-position model. The record is from RNAcentral.
UGGGGAAUUUUGGACAAUGGGCGCAAGCCUGAUCCAGCCAUGCCGCGUGGGUGAAGAAGGCCUUCGGGUUGUAAAGCCCUUUCGGCUGGGACGAAAAGGUCCGUGCUAACACCACGGACUAAUGACGGUACCAGCAGAAGAAGCACCGGCUAACUACGUGCCAGCAGCCGCGGUAAUACGUAGGGUGCAGGCGUUAAUCGGAAUUACUGGGCGUAAAGCGUGCGCAGGCGGUUUGCUAAGAGAGAUGUGAAAUCCCCGGGCUUAACCUGGGAACUGCGUUUCUAACUGGCAGGCUUGAGUGUGGCAGAGGGGGGUGGAAUUCCACGUGUAGCAGUGAAAUGCGUAGAUAUGUGGAGGAACACCGAUGGCGAAGGCAGCCCCCUGGGCUAACACUGACGCUCAUGCACGAAAGCGUGGGGAGCAAACAG